UUAACGAGACAUCAUAACGUCCGCGAGGCGAGGGGAGGCACACACACAACGCGCAUCAAGCGUGCCAGACCUCAUUCUUUCUUCCACCCCCCUCCCUCCUCCUUCUCCAUCCACCUCCCUGUCUCCGCUCGGCCCCUCUUGCCUUCCGUCCUCCCCACCACCCCUCUAUACCCCUUUGGCGGCCCGCCGCGCAACAGUGCCCGUCUGCCAGCCUGUGUCAGGGGAGGGUGCAGCACCGUGCUCCCACUUCUCCGACCUCAGCCCCGCCCCACAUACAGCCCUUCGCGAUGCGUGGCGCACACGUGCGCACGUGUGCGCGCCUCACAGCGCUGGUGGGUGUCGCCGCCCUCUUCCUUCUCGCCACCCAAGGGCCUGUGGCAGCCGCUGUCGGUUUAACGACCGAUCCGGUGCAGCCGCUGCUCGACGUCCCAUUCUUCGCUACCGGCACGGACCUGAGUAUGGGCAGCAGACUGUUCGCCUCCUCGGAUGCGCGCUGCACCAAGAGUGUCACGACUGCGUGCUCAGUGAAGAGCGAGGUGAGCGGCAGCAGCUUCAGGAAUGGGACAUGCGUCUUCACGGUGAGCAGUGCGGCGCUGGGGGUGACGCUGGACACCCCUCGGACCUCGGUGCCACUUGCCCACUGGUGCGUCGGGAGCCCCGGCUCCGCGCAGCGGGUGGCCACGCUGCAGAUGCACAAGAUGGAGGUGACGCCCGAAUACGUCCUCAACGGCGAAGAAUCCGCUCUGAACUUUGGCAGCGCUGUGCCGGUGGGAACCACGCUGGGAUUUUACGCUGACAGCCAAUGCCAGCUUCUGCUCACGGGAGCCGGUCCGUUUGUGAUAACCAACGAGCGCACGGUGAGGUUUACGAUAAUGCCUUCCUCGUCCCCCCUUUUCAUGUGCGCCUCCACCAUCACUGUGAACGGAUCCGAAACCUCGACGAAGCUGGUCAAUGCAGUGGCACUUGCAACACCCUACACGGUCGAUCCCACCACGGGCGUGCGCCACCAAACCGUCGUCGUCUCGAGCUCGACACAGCCCUACGCACAGUUUUACCUCUCCACGAUGGCACACUGCACGGACUCGCAUCCAGCAUACCAAAGCACGACUGCCAGCGAAAUGGCUAUGAAAGUCAGCGUGUCUCGUGGCGCGUACUUCUUCUGCGGCUCACGCGAUAUUGGUGAAAACGGACUUUACAUCCCCGCCAGCAACACGUUCACCGUCUUGGAGUACGACGUGGUGCCGCACACGCUGUACGUGGACAAGGCGACCGUCAUGUCCUUCGCCCUCGACGCGGCUCCGCUGCAGAGUAAGCUCGAAGCCGUCCUCUCCACCUCCGAUAACUGCAGCGCCGCCAGCAGCUGGCAGGGCAGCUGGAGCAGCACGAUGCGGUGGACAGCAAAUCAGUUGGGUGUCUACUACGCCUGCGUUCGCAGGAAGCACGCCGCCGCCACCGCCGGCUACGCGAACAUCAUCAUCGCGACAAAUCUGCCCACCACCACCUUCUCCCCCGCAGCCCCCGUCCGCGGCGUAUCCAUGCGCGCCACCCUCACCCACGUCAAUGCGACCAACGUCUUCUUCGUGGUCGGACUUUUCGACUCGCAAGAUUGCACAACGCUGCUCGUGCAGGGCAUCGCCAGCCCGUCCACCAGCGCCACCGCCAGCCUCGCGGUGCCGCUCAGCGCCCGAGAUACGCUGUACUUGUGUGUGUCGAACCCGCUGGAAGCCGAGCCCACCGCGCAGGACGUAUCCGUGCGCUUCCACAAGCUGCAUGCGCUCACCCCGCAGCCGUUUGCACUGGAGUACGCCCCGCUGCGCGUCGGCGCGCUGUCGACCAUCACGCUGGACGGCACGGUGUUCCUGGCCAAGGGCACGACGGUGGCGCUGGUCCGCGCAGACGCCCGCAAGGAACAGUGCGGCGCCACCGACAUCCCGACGUUCAAUGUCUUCGGCGCCGCGUUCGCGCUAGGCCCCGUCACCUUCCCCGAGGCCGGCGACUGGGACGUGUGCGUGCGCGAGCCCGGCGCCAGCUACGUCGCCGUGCACCGCGUCACCGUGUACGGCAAGGCGACCGUGGAGCCACCGGGCAUCGUCGCCGGCGUCGAGGGUACCAUCGCCGUGAGCGGCCUCCCCCCCAACGCUGUCGUGUUCGUCACGAGCGCCGCUGAGUGCGGCAAUGAAGCAGCUGUUCUGGGCAGAGCCACCGCCAGCGGCGAGGGCGCCGCCAAAAUCACGCUCAUGUAUGACAGUGUUGGCACGCUGCUGCUGUGCUCCUACUACCCGGCCACGGCGCCGCAGCCGGUGUUGCAGGCCGCGGGGAACGUGCGCACCGCCAACCCGCGCGUCGCGCCGGCAGUCGUGGCGCUCACGGCGCAGAAAGACAACCCGCAGGUGCUUCGCUUCGUGGCGCCUGGCGCGGCAGUGCUGAAGGGCCACGCCGCCUACCUGCUGCCCGGUGAGUCAGCGUGCCCCAGCGGCUCUCACGUUCCAGGCGCCGCCACCGCGCUGCCCGCGCUGCAGGUCGCCGCCGGCAGCGACACGCCGCACGCGACCCUCGAGCUCCGCGCCGCCAUGGUCGGCACGCGCUACCUCGCCUGCGUUAACACCAACGGCCGCUUCGUCGCCGCCGGCAACGUCACCGUGGUGUUGUCCGCGCCACGGCUCGAGUCCGAUCCCGCGCCGCUCGCCGCCGGGCUGCCCGCCAGCAUCCGUCUCCCCAGCACCUACACAAGCGCCGCGCAGGUGGACACCUACGCCAUCGUCCGCGGCGACGCCGACUGCACCGCCGAUCUCAGCACGCUCUCCGUGCUCGCCCGCGGCACCAUCGACUCUCGCACCGGCGCCGCCACGCCCUUCCUCGUGCCACGAGACGCCGCGUCGCCGGCCGUCUGCGCGUAUGCGUUGCGCCGCGGUACAGCCUCCUCGACGGCGCCGGCGGCAUCGGCUACGCCGCAGCCGGCGAGCUCGACGUGGCCGCCUUCGCACCGCUCAGCGCCUACGCGCAGCUCGGGCGGCCCGCCAGCAGCGUCGCCGGCCGGCCCGUGCACACCGCCGCCGCACAGUACCUUGUGCGCUGCGGGACAGCCCCGGACGACUGCAGGGCCAGCACCGCGUGCGUGGUAGUCAGCAAGCGUUACAGCGUCGGCGGCGCCACGCUGGGCGACCUGGACGCGCCGCGCGGCAACUACCUGCUGUGCCAGAGCGUCACCGUUGACGGCGUCACAGGCACCGUUGCAGCCGACGCCAUCGUGAGCGUCGUGGAUGCCUUCGUCAUGUCCGUAGACGCCGACCUCGCGCAGAUACGCGCCUACGUGCCCUUCGGCGCCACCAUCACAGGCGGCCCCAUGGGUACCUCCUUCUACUCAGUUGCCGUGCAGCCCGCUACCGUGCCCUGCAGCGUUGCGGUCAGCGAGUCACAGACCUUCGUCUCGAGCGAGAGCUUCGUCAUCAUCAACAUCAGUGCCACCGAGCCGCAGACGGACGUCCACUUCUGCGUCGGACCCACCACCACGAGCAGCCGCACCGAGGUGACGCGCGCCACGCUGCACCACUACAUGAGCCCGGCCUGCAUCUUCGCUGACACGCCCACCACCAUCACCCUGCCCACGCGCAGCGCAGGCACCUCCGCGCUUCUCUCGUCCUCACGCAGCGCCCCCGUCGCCGUUAAGGGCGGGGAGAAGAAGCCCUUGAGCGGCAGCCGGGUCAGCUUCACCAUCGACGGCUGCGGCGACAACGAGGCCGUCACGGAGCUCUUCUACCACGAGUUCAACGACGGCUGGUCGGUGGUACGCGGGCGCAUGCUGCUGAUACGCAACGGCACCUGCAAAGGCGGCGCGAGUCCGCCCAGCAUCCGCACCGUGUACGCAGCGCCGAGCGCGCCCAUCAGCGACGCUGGCGUCGACACGCGGUUCCUGGCCGUAUCCGGCGUCGGCAUCAGCUCCGGAGACAUGUCGCUGCCGGGCAUCGGCGUCCUGGCCACGGGCUACGUGCCGGCCGUGGACGAGGAUGCCGCCUUCCACGUGUGGGCGCACCCCAUCGGCAACCCGGACUCCCUCUUCACAACCGCCGCGGCAACGCUGCGGGUGCGCAACUGGGUUGUCACGCCGACACACGCGCUCAGCCGCUACAACGCCACCAUUGGCGCGGCGCCGCUCACGCUGCUGCACAUCAGCGACGCGACACCGUCGGAGGGCACCUUCUUCAGCCAGUCGCUGCGCUGUGACGGCAGCCUCGGCGACGCCGCGGACAUGGGCACGCCGACGCAGGCCGCCGUCUACAGCGCCACGGGCGUGAGCGGGCAGGUGUAUGUGUGCACUCUUCACCCGCAGACCGGCGCGCCGCUGGCCGUGGCGAAGUUCACGUCGCUGCUGCUGCCGCAGGUGCUGCACGCGUCGCCCGCCGUCGUGCGGGGCGCCAUCUACGCCGCCACGCUGCAGACCGAGGGCUACGCGCUGCAGAAGACCAGCACGUUCCUCUCCAGCAACCUCUGCGCCGGGCCGUUGCCGCUGCAGUCGAAUGCGGUGUCGACGGCCAGCGUCCUAUGGGUGUCCUUCCUCGCGGAAAGCAUUGCACAGGACGUCAAGAGUGUGAGCUUGUGCGUGUUGACGCCGGCCGGCACCGGCGUCGCAAUCGCCAACGUGCCGGUGGCGCCCGGCACCAUGUGGCCCACGCAAUUCGCGGUCGGCACCGCCGCCGCCACCAUCUUCGUGCCGUUGUCGCCGCACACCACCUUCCAGCUGAGCGCCACCGCCACCACCUGCAUCGACGUCGGCGGCAUGCCCACCUUCACCACCGACGCCGACGGCUACGCCGCGCUAUCGCUGCUGCGCGCCAGCGGCGACGCCCUGCCGCUGGGCCGCUACGCCGUGUGCGCUGUCCCGCCCAUGCGGGCGGCGGUGGCGGCAGCGUCGCCGCUCGAGACCAUCGAGGUGGUGCCGGCGGCGCACUUCAGCGUGCACGGCACCGUCUUCGUUGUCGGCGUGCCCAGUCGCAUGGAACUGCAGCAGGACCUGCGCGCCGCCGACCUCAUCGCCGGCUUCAGCACAACCGCCGCCUGUAGCCCCGUCACCACCGACCACGGCACCUGGGCAGCGCUGUCUAGCACCGCGAUCGAGGUGCGCGCGACAGUGGCGAGGAGAAGUGGCGUGUUCCUGUGCGCACAGGUGCCCGGGAACGGCUCCGUCGUCGCGCUGCCGCACGCGCUGGCGUCGCCGAGCCGCAUCGAGUUCCUGCAGCUGGCCAUGAAACUGCCGGACGGCAGCUGGGACACGUGCACCGACUACUUGGUGGACCAGUGCCGCCCGCCCGGCAGCGCUGGCAGCGCGGCGGCGGACAUGCUAACCGUGGUGCACGGCGACUGCUGCAGCUACGCGGCGCAGGCGCAGGCCGUGGGCAGCGCCAGCAUGGCCAGCGGCACGUGCCGGCUGCGGCUGGACGCGGCAAAGGUGGCGGCGUACGCCGUCGGCACGAACUUCAGCGUGUGCGCCUGGAACCCCGAGAACAGCUCCACCUGCGCGACGCUGCACAGGGUGACAGUGACUAGGAACUGCAAGCCGACCAACGUCGGCCGUGGCUCCAGGCUGAGCAGCGGCGCGGUGGCCGGCAUCGCGGUGGGGUGCAUGGUAUGUGGUGCCGCGCUACUGGCGCUCGUCAUGUGGCUCCUGUGGUGCCAGCGCUAUGCGUGCGCGAAGAGCAGCAGCGCGCAGAGCGACGAGGAGAGGCCUUCCUUUAGUGAACUGACCGAAACAGAGAGUGCCAGGGAGGAACGGCAGCGGCAUGAGCUGCUGUGGAAGCUCCUUGAGAACACGGCAAAGGAUGUGAUGCUCUCGGCACAGGGCGGCGGCAAAGAAGUGGCGCCAGCGAAGGGGCACACGGCCACAUCGCCGCUGCCGAGCUCGAUGAGGAGGACCCGGGACAUGGAGGUGCUUCAGGAUGGGACGCCAAACUGCAUGGACGGGUGGCCGGACGUCAUCAGCAAGUAUUACAGCUUCCUGGACGGCUCCGACUUCGACUACGAGACGGUGUCGCAAAUCCCUGGCGAGGGCGAGCCCAGCGGAAUGGACGAGGAGCUCGAGGCAAUGCUGGCCGUGCCGCGCGCGAGUGCUCUGUCGGAGGAGCUCGAGGCGAAGCGGCAGGCGGAGUUGCGCGCCGUGGCGGACCGAAACGCGAAGUUGUUGGCGCUGUGGGAAGAGAGGCACCGUAUGAAGGAGGAGGACCCCAUCAAGCUGAAGAUGGUUGUCCUGCAGGAACGGGAGGAGUGGGCGAGGACGGCGUUGGAGGGCCGCCGCCGUCGCGCACACUACAACCUCACGGUGCUGUUCAAAUCCAGCCUGGAUUACUGCAACGCGCUGUCGAAGAAGAGGCGCAGCGAGCGGUCAGAGUUGCCGUCCGAUGAAAGCGAGCUGCUGUCAGUGGGGUCGUGGGACGUGGCGCCGCUGGAACCGCUAGACUAUAGGUUUGGCAGCUGCGUGGGCGCUCCAUUUGUGUCAACAGAGUUCUCUGCCUCCGUCUUCUCUCUCACUGCGGGCUGUGAGCGCAGCGUCGGCGUCAGCUCCGCCCUCCGGCGGCCGCAACCUCCCCCGACAGAGACGCAGCCUUUCGCUUGUUUGCGCGUUGACCUGUAUCGCAGGCGGCGCUUCCUGGAGUUUCCGUUCGUGACCAACUCGCCCGAGACGCUCAUCGCGUACGACAAGAACGUUCCCGUGCCUGUAUUCGUGCGGGGUCUGACGUUGAUAGACCUUCAGGCCUUCCACCCAGCGCAUCGCUGGCUUGUCGACCCGCCCAAGCCCUCCGGCAGCGCCGACCACUUGCACGACAAGAAGGGAACGUGGGCGUUCAUGGCGCCCGACUCCACGGUUCCCUUUGUGCGCCGCUACUUGAUACUGUUCAAGAAGGAGUUUGGUGCUCGGGAAAGGAUAUUGGAGGCAGACGCGGCUUUCUGGUCGCACCUGUUCUGGGAGAAGCGGAAUGUGCCAGUCUUCUCCGCCAUGGAGGAGGUGGAACCGGUGUACGACUCCGACAGCUCUCGCUCCUUCUGCGCCUCCUCUCUCGAGCACCGCAAUCUCAGCAGCUGCGAGAGCGACAGCGAUCACGGCGGCGUCGCGAACCACGGUAAGCGGCACCUGCAGCCAGCCGAAGACUUGUGGGCGAAGGAGCAGGCGGCGCCCGAGUCCAUUGUGGAGCAGCGCCGCGUGGAGCAGGAGUUGGCGGCCCUGACCGUAGCCAAAGACAUGAGCAAGGAAGAAAAGAAGAAAAUUGCAGCCGCGCAGACGGCCUUUCGGGCGGCGCAAUCAGCAGAGAGGAAAGCCCGUGUCGCGCAGAAGAAGGCGGAGGUGGCACGUCGGAAGGCAGAGGCGGCGAGCCAGGAUGCCAAGACUGCCAAAGCAGGCUUCGAGAGUCGGAGCCUGUCGAGGACGCGGCAGACCAGCUCGACCACGGUCGAGGAGUUGAUGGGGCAGGAGUUGCAGCACAUUGAGGAGCUCCGGCGGCUAGGGCUGCUGUAGGCGCGGAGUCUGUGGACAGCAAUGGCAAGAAGGCUGCCACGGCAGUCAAACUUCAGGUAGCUGUCAUCGGCGACGGUGACGUGAAAGCCGACUCUUGUGAUGUCUCCAUCCGCAAACCUCGUGCACCUCCACCCCUCCUUUGCGUUCACGCAGGUGUCCUGUCUUCCCCAGGGGUUGUGUGCCGUGCAAGUCGGCCUCCUCCUCCUCCAACUGCCUGCCUCUACCCUUUCCUUCUCGUAUUUGUUUUUGCUCCCGCGCACUAGCGCCGCCCUUUCGAUCAUGAUGCGGUGUCAUGUUCUCGUGCGUGUGCGUGUGCGUGUGCGUUCAGUCGUGUCCUGACCUGGUGCUCUCUGUGAUUCGUUUAUUUGGUUGGUUGGUCGGUUGGUUGAUUAUGUGAUGCGCGCUGCGUCUCCUUUACUGGUCUCGUGCAUGCGUACCUGCGUGUGUUUUGUGUUCGCUGCUCACUGCGUUUUGCUGUCCUGUUUCGCUUCUCUUGGAUGUCCCCCUCACCCAUGCGCGCCCUGACGCACGAGAGCGCUCGCUCUUCUUGUUUGGUCGCUGUUUUGUAUGUUUCUGUUCCGUCUCUCACGUCCAUCCUGCACACCUCGUGCUUCCCCUCCUCAUCAUCCGCUACUACGGUUUUGCGCGUCUGUCUGUCUCUCGUCCUCUCCUCUCCGAGUCACACCUGCGAGACAGCGCCGACCCACUCCGCAUCCUUUUUUUCCUUUCUUUGCUGCUGUGUGACGAGUCCGUCUGCUGAUGCCACGUGUGAGACGACGCCAAGGCUAGAAGUACGCGCUCCUGUUAUCUCGUGCGCACAGGCACGCACCUCAUCACACGCUCUGCCCUUCUGCAGAACUCUACCUCACCUCUCCCUCCGUCACGCGUCACGCGUUCGAGCCCCGUUCGCAGACGCUGGUAGGAUAGGGAGGGGAGUCGAUGCCGCAGCAGCCCACCACCACCACCACCUACAAAAGCGGUAAAGCACGUUGUGGACGCCUGGCGCUUGCUAUUCAUUGCCAUCGUACCGCCCUCGUAUGGCUCAUGUACGUGUCCUUGUAUGUGUGUGUGUGUGUGUGUCUGUGUGUGUCUGUGCGCCUGUUGUAUUCUUCAGAUUGCUAUUCUUGUUCGGUCACUUACGCUUCAUUCUUCUUGCCUCCGCCGCCGCUGCUGCUGCUGUUGCUUGUUUGAAUGGUGCCUAGUCGGCGCUCGAUGUCUGUCUGUUUGCCUGCGCGUGCUGGCGUGCAUGAUCUCUUUCUCUCUCUGAUGACCUCUUCUUAGUUUUUCCCUUCCUCACGCGGCACUCGACACUCCCUUUAUUUUUGUUUUCACUCUCAGUCUGGCUGUUGUGCACCUCCUCAUCACUCCUCCUCUCCCUAUCGGUUUGCUUUCAGUGCUUCUUUCUUGUCUGUAUGUGUCAACGUGCCCGUGAGUGUGUGUAUCCGUUCUUUUCUCCAGUUUUCAUUUUGCGGGCCACCCUCCCAUCCACCCAUCCAUCCGCAGGGCCCACUCGCACACCCCCCCCCUCCCUUCCCACGUCAUCUCUUCUCGUUUUCUUUUUGCCCCCGCCGCUGCUUGCUUCCUCCGCCCUUCUUCGCCCUCCUCUGCCGUCGUCUUCUCGGCUUGGUGGCUCUCCUUGUUUUUGUUGUUCAUCCUCGUCUUCCCUGCCAUGCUGCGUGGGCGCGUCGCCACAUAAAGGCAGUGUCGCGAAGGCCACACUUAUCUGCUCGCAUGAUAUGACCGGCAAGGGCACAGGGAUGCGGAGGAGCUGGGCAGAGCGCCGCAGCACCUUGAAUCCCUCCCUUGCUAGACCAGCAUCAACGCCAUACCCAGCUGCUUGCGUGAGCUCCGUCACUCUUCUUCUAUUCUGUCUGUUGAUUCUCUUCGCAUCGUUCGUUGUUGCUGUUGUUGUCAGGCAUUGAAUGUCCGCUUUCGGUUUGAAUCACGCGCGCGCAUCCGUUUCUCUCUCUCUCUCUGUGUGUGUGUGUCGGAGGAGGAGGAGGUCGGGGCUGACGGUGUGCGCGUGUGGAGAGGGUGGACGGAGAGUGAGAUGGGCUUCAUGUUUUGUGUCACAUUCGUUGAUGUUGUUUCUUUGCCCACAUUCUACUGUUAGCUCAUCCAAUUACUUUCUCCCGACGCGCCUCUCUCGCACACGCUCGCGCACAUGUGCAUGCGAGGAGGCCUGCUGAUGACCGGCGUUUCUGUUUUCUUGUUUUGUUCUAUCUUGAUCACGUGCUUUCCUCUCUGUUCCUGCUUCAUUCGUUCUUUUCUGGAAUGCCUUCUCUCUAUCGCUGCCCCACCUCACCCCCACUCCCACUCCUCUCCAUCGAUUCCAGCGACGUCACAUCUUGUGUAGAUACGCAAGCGUUUACGCGCGCCUACGCGAAGGUGGCUGUACCCCUGUUGGUGGUCGUGGUGGCGGGGAGGAGGGGGUGGAGGGUGUGCGCCUCUUCCCGUUUUCUGUUCCCUUUUUGCCGUGGAUGUUGCCGGCCCUUUUCACUCAUUUUACCCGUUGCCUUUUUCUCUUGUGCUGUGCUGCUGCCUGCAGCAGCUAUGUGGGGGUAUGUGGCGGCGGCGGCAGCGGGGAUUUUGCAGUUGGGUGCGCGCAGGUUCAUGCAUCCGCCCUCCCUCGUGAUAGCCCUUCUUAGUCGUUUUUACAACCUCCUCCCCCUCUCUGCCCCCCCCCUUAUUGUCUGCCUCUCGCCAACGGUGGCUGUUUGCCGGCACCUCUGUAUGUGCAUAUGUAUAUAUAUGUGUGUGUGAAUAUCCAUCUCUCCUCAUGGUGACUAUGCCUCGCAUACACCUGGGCAACACCGCUGCGACGACAGAGUUUGCAUCUGCAUGGGCGGCCACGUUUAUGCGUGCGUGCCUGUGUGGCUUCGUGCAGCCGGUGGAGCCGCAGGUCAAGCUGGAAAGAGGGGGUCAUCGAGAAGGCUGGAGGGGCGAUGGAAGUGUCACACUCGGAGCAACAGCAGAACCGGCGGCCGCCGUGGAGCAGGUGAGCGAAGAGAUGGAGAGGCUGGGCUAAAGCGAGUGGUAGGAAGGCCCCUGUGUCCGCUAGCGAUGACGUGCACGGGUGUCGUGCCUUCCUCUGUGGAGGCCGGCAGUGCUAUGUGUCUCCCAAUAUCUGGCCCUCUCUGAGCACUCUUCGGGCCUCUGCGCCGUUGUCACGGCGUGGUAGCUAUGCCACAGGCACGGCCGGCAACGGCAGAGAGACAGAGAGAGAGAGACGAACGCAUAUGCAUCCCCGUGCACGCAUCUGCUUUUCAUGCAUACCCUAUCGUCUAUUUUUUUUUCUCAUCAGAACUCAUCGGCAUGCGUUGAUGCGUGUCCUCUAACGCCGUAAAACAAAUGCCCCCCCCCCACACACACACGCACACCCUUAUCUCUCUCUCCCCUCCCUCCUCACGUGUACGCGUAUGUGUGCACGUGUGUGCGGAGGAGGGAGAGAGGGGGGGCUCUUCCGCGCUGUUGCCUUUGCCUGCUUUCUGUUGUUGUACUCGUCUUUGUUCUCGUCUGGCCUCCGCGCGUGUGCGCGUGAUGUCUGAAACGGCGUUUUGUUUUGUUUUGUGUGUGUGUGUUGGUGUUGGUGUCCGUGCCGGCGCACCAGCACGCUGCCUUCCUGCGUCUGUCCAUCUCUCGCCUCUUCGUUAGUGGCCCUGUGCUGGCGUAGCUUCUCCUCCUCUCUCGUGGAUGGAUGGAUGGAUGGCGAUUGGAGGCGGUGAUGAUUUUGUUUGUGUAUUUUCUUGCUUGGAUGGGUUGGGUCAGUUCAGGACACCAACGAAGGGAACGGGAAAAAAAAACGAAACGAGCAAGUGGCAACUAGCGAGUCUUCUAGCGAAGCGCUCGAGCAAGCGGUAGAGAGGUGGAGGCCGCUUACUCCUCCGCCGACCAUAUUUGUGAAGGGUUGCGAGUGCCCUGGAGCCGCACGCAUACGCAUGACUUGCUCGAAAUCUUGCUGUCUGUGGCGGAGUCUGUGCGUUUCACGGAAGCCGUGGAGGCGAAGUGCAGGAGAGCUGGUAGCUCGAAAGAAACACACACACACACACGGCCUCCCACCUCUGCUGCUGCUGACCUCUCUCCAUCCGUCUCUCUCUAGCUCUUGUGCACACCUCUCCUCCCGUUUCUCUGCCCUUGUCUACGUUGCGUGUACCUGUGUGUUUGUCUGCCGCAUCGCAAUGCAUGCCGAGAAG
This 11694-nucleotide unclassified non-coding RNA is filed under the name Leishmania donovani. RNAcentral's name for it is "gene:LdHU3.34.0650(CDS-product:hypothetical_prote in_conserved)". The record is from RNAcentral. Lineage: Eukaryota; Euglenozoa; Kinetoplastea; Trypanosomatida; Trypanosomatidae.